UACGUAGGGUGCAAGCGUUGUCCGGAAUUAUUGGGCGUAAGGAGCUCGUAGGCGGUCUGUCACGUCGGCUGUGAAAACCUGGGGCUUAACUCCGGGCCUGCAGCCGAUACGGGCAGACUAGAGUUCGGCAGGGGAGACUGGAAUUCCUGGUGUAGCGGUGAAAUGCGUAGAGAUGAGGAGGAACACCAGUGGCGAAGGCGACUCUCUGGACUAUAACUAACACUGAGGCGCGAAAGCGUGGGGAGCAAACAGG
RNAcentral lists this ribosomal RNA (253 nucleotides) under uncultured bacterium. RNAcentral describes it as "partial 16S ribosomal RNA". It matches the Rfam family "Bacterial small subunit ribosomal RNA", at positions 524 to 776 of the family's 1533-position model. The record is from RNAcentral.